Molecule: ribosomal RNA, 271 nt
Filed under: uncultured bacterium
Lineage: Bacteria
Description: partial 16S ribosomal RNA
Source: RNAcentral
CUGCUGCCUCCCGUAGGAGUCUGGUCCGUGUCUCAGUACCAGUGUGGGGGACCUUCCUCUCAGAACCCCUACGCAUCGUCGCCUUGGUGGGCCGUUACCCCGCCAACUAGCUAAUGCGCCGCAUGCCCAUCCUCCGCCGGAAUCGCUUCCUUUUAACACCCGUGGGAUGCCCCACAGAUGUACCACGCGGUAUUAGUCCGGAUUUCUCCGGGUUAUCCCCCUGCGGAGGGCAGGUUGCAUACGUGUUACUCACCCGUGCGCCGGUCGCCGG